AGUCGAACGGCAGCACGGGAGCAAUCCUGGUGGCGAGUGGCGAACGGGUGAGUAAUAUAUCGGAACGUGCCCAGUCGUGGGGGAUAACGCAGCGAAAGCUGUGCUAAUACCGCAUACGAUCUCUGGAUGAAAGCGGGGGACUCGCAAGGGCCUCGCGCGAUUGGAGCGGCCGAUAUCAGAUUAGCUAGUUGGUGGGGUAAAAGCCCACCAAGGCGACGAUCUGUAGCUGGUCUGAGAGGACGACCAGCCACACUGGAACUGAGACACGGUCCAGACUCCUACGGGAGGCAGCAGUGGGGAAUUUUGGACAAUGGGCGCAAGCCUGAUCCAGCAAUGCCGCGUGCAGGAUGAAGGCCUUCGGGUUGUAAACUGCUUUUGUACGGAGCGAAACGGUCCGCCUUAAUACGGUGGGCUAAUGACGGUACCGUAAGAAUAAGCACCGGCUAACUACGUGCCAGCAGCCGCGGUAAU
This 471-nucleotide ribosomal RNA is filed under the name uncultured bacterium. Its description in RNAcentral is "bacterial SSU rRNA". It matches the Rfam family "Bacterial small subunit ribosomal RNA", at positions 60 to 524 of the family's 1533-position model. The record is from RNAcentral.